Molecule: ribosomal RNA, 468 nt
Filed under: uncultured bacterium
Lineage: Bacteria
Description: partial 16S ribosomal RNA
Rfam family: Bacterial small subunit ribosomal RNA
Source: RNAcentral
GACGAACGCUGGCGGCGUGCUUAACACAUGCAAGUCGAACGGGAAGGCCCUGCUUUUGUGGGGUGCUCGAGUGGCGAACGGGUGAGUAACACGUGAGUAACCUGCCCUUGACUUUGGGAUAACUUCAGGAAACUGGGGCUAAUACCGGAUAGGAGCUCCUGCUGCAUGGUGGGGGUUGGAAAGUUUCGGCGGUUGGGGAUGGACUCGCGGCUUAUCAGCUUGUUGGUGGGGUAGUGGCUUACCAAGGCUUUGACGGGUAGCCGGCCUGAGAGGGUGACCGGCCACAUUGGGACUGAGAUACGGCCCAGACUCCUACGGGGGGCAGCAGUGGGGAAUAUUGCACAAUGGGCGGAAGCCUGAUGCGGCAACGCCGCGUGCGGGAUGACGGCCUUCGGGUUGUAAACCGCUUUCGCCUGUGACGAAGCGUGAGUGACGGUAAUGGGUAAAGAAGCACCGGCUAACUACGUG